Molecule: ribosomal RNA, 682 nt
Filed under: uncultured Pseudomonadaceae bacterium
Lineage: Bacteria; Pseudomonadati; Pseudomonadota; Gammaproteobacteria; Pseudomonadales; Pseudomonadaceae
Description: SSU rRNA
Rfam family: Bacterial small subunit ribosomal RNA
Source: RNAcentral
AGGCCUAACACAUGCAAGUCGAGCGGAUGAAGGGAGCUUGCUCCCGGAUUCAGCGGCGGACGGGUGAGUAAUGCCUAGGAAUCUGCCUGGUAGUGGGGGAUAACGUCCGGAAACGGGCGCUAAUACCGCAUACGUCCUGAGGGAGAAAGUGGGGGAUCUUCGGACCUCACGCUAUCAGAUGAGCCUAGGUCGGAUUAGCUAGUUGGUGGGGUAAAGGCCUACCAAGGCGACGAUCCGUAACUGGUCUGAGAGGAUGAUCAGUCACACUGGAACUGAGACACGGUCCAGACUCCUACGGGAGGCAGCAGUGGGGAAUAUUGGACAAUGGGCGAAAGCCUGAUCCAGCCAUGCCGCGUGUGUGAAGAAGGUCUUCGGAUUGUAAAGCACUUUAAGUUGGGAGGAAGGGCAGUAAGUUAAUACCUUGCUGUUUUGACGUUACCAACAGAAUAAGCACCGGCUAACUUCGUGCCAGCAGCCGCGGUAAUACGAAGGGUGCAAGCGUUAAUCGGAAUUACUGGGCGUAAAGCGCGCGUAGGUGGUUCAGCAAGUUGGAUGUGGAAUCCCCGGGCUCAACCUGGGAACUGCAUCCAAAACUACUGAGCUAGAGUACGGUAGAGGGUGGUGGAAUUUCCUGUGUAGCGGUGAAAUGCGUAGAUAUAGGAAGGAACACCAGUGGCGAAGG